Molecule: transfer RNA, 64 nt
Filed under: Clonorchis sinensis
Lineage: Eukaryota; Metazoa; Platyhelminthes; Trematoda; Opisthorchiida; Opisthorchiidae
Description: tRNA-Thr
Source: RNAcentral
GGGGACAUAGUUUAAAUAGAAUGCGGUUCUUGUAAAGCUGCGGUGCUUCUUAGUGUUGUUUCCA